AGUGAACGCUGGCGGUAGGCCUAACACAUGCAAGUCGAACGGCAGCACAGUAAGAGCUUGCUCUUACGGGUGGCGAGUGGCGGACGGGUGAGGAAUACAUCGGAAUCUACUUUUUCGUGGGGGAUAACGUAGGGAAACUUACGCUAAUACCGCAUACGACCUACGGGUGAAAGCAGGGGAUCUUCGGACCUUGCGCGAUUGAAUGAGCCGAUGUCGGAUCAGCUAGUUGGCGGGGUAAAGGCCCACCAAGGCGACGAUCCGUAGCUGGUCUGAGAGGAUGAUCAGCCACACUGGAACUGAGACACGGUCCAGACUCCUACGGGAGGCAGCAGUGGGGAAUAUUGGACAAUGGGCGCAAGCCUGAUCCAGCCAUACCGCGUGGGUGAAGAAGGCCUUCGGGUUGUAAAGCCCUUUUGUUGGGAAAGAAAAGCAGCAGGUUAAUACCCCGCUGUUCUGACGGUACCCAAGGAAUAAGCACCGGCUAACUUCGUG
This 492-nucleotide ribosomal RNA is filed under the name uncultured bacterium. RNAcentral's name for it is "partial 16S ribosomal RNA". It matches the Rfam family "Bacterial small subunit ribosomal RNA", at positions 29 to 507 of the family's 1533-position model. The record is from RNAcentral.